Tribolium castaneum (red flour beetle) is the source of this 111-nucleotide non-coding RNA. RefSeq annotates it as microRNA mir-9e. The record is from RefSeq and is marked provisional. The transcript has a single exon. Lineage: Eukaryota; Metazoa; Arthropoda; Insecta; Coleoptera; Tenebrionidae.
AACAGGUUGCAAGUCGGAUAUAUUCUUCUUUGGUGAUCUAGUUGUAUGAGUGUUUUAUAUAUCAUAAAGCUGGUUCAGCAAAGCAGAUUGCAUUCGACUCUUCGACGAGCC